This 1123-nucleotide small RNA is filed under the name Drosophila pseudoobscura pseudoobscura. RNAcentral describes it as "GA30610". Lineage: Eukaryota; Metazoa; Arthropoda; Insecta; Diptera; Drosophilidae. The record is from RNAcentral.
CUGUAUAAAAUGUACAUUGUACAUAUGUCGAUGCUUUUUUAAUGUUCGUUUCGCAUGUCACUCAUUUUUCCAAUCUGGCAAUGCCCUGCUGCCCGCGUCCUCAGAUGAAUUUUUGUGGCUUUACAAUGAGCAAAAAGAGAUCAGAUCCGAUUGCUCUCCCGCUCUCUCGUUACAAAUCAUAGGGCAAAGAGGGAGGAGGAGUCCCAUCAGGUUUGGGUGUGUGUGCAAUGCCUCUCACUUUUUCGUGUAGUUGCAUUACAAAAGCAGCGCCGUGACGUCAUUUAUCUGUGAGCAGCGAUAGCCUUACAGAAGAGUUUCGGAAUUUCCUGGUUCAAAUUUCAUAUACAUAGGUACUUUUAAGGCGUAGAACCAAGUGCCUGUCAAUCGAAUGACUGACAAAGAGGCACACGCUGUAGAUAAGCGCUGGUGCAGAUAACAACGAAAUGAGCGACUUUUACAGAUAGUAACCUUCCCGAAAAACAUUUAUUUCGAACGAUCUCCAAUGCACUUCUCUGCUUUUCCAUAUUUAUAAAUAAAAUUUGCAUUACAUGUGGCAGUUAGUUAAUUAAUUGGCACCCCACAGCAUGUGUUUGCUCGUUAUUUAUGUAUCUGGGAUUAUAACUUAUUUAUUCCGCUAAUCCCACGAGCCAAUUGUUGUUAUAUGUAUUUGUAUUUCUUGCAGUGUCAUUGCAAUGGGGUGGAGGGAAUGGAGAGGAGGAAGCUGCCCGAAACCGACUAUACUCAUUCAGAGAUGGAGAGGAACGUCAGCUCUGGGAAUCUUAGGCGCGCGCUCCAUCAAUCAACUUGAUUCUGCUUAACACGUCAGAAGUAUCUUUCGCCUGGCAUCGUCGUUCCCUUUAAAUCAAGCAAUGAAUAUUUAAACGCAGAACCAGAUCUGGUCAUUAGGGAGAAAGAGACGUAAGCAUCUAAGAUCGGAACUGGAAUCUCAUCGGCGGAAUGGGAAUAUGAGUAAGAUCCCAGUGGAAUUGAAUUAAUUGAUCUGCUGGGAGAAACCGAUUUCGUUUGUAUUCUUUGGUUGGUCUUAAUGGCCUAUUAUUUAUAAACAAUUUUGGUAUUUUGUAAUCUCGCUGGUGCCGAAGAUUAUUUAUAGACAGAAUGCAGA